Molecule: long non-coding RNA, 655 nt
Organism: Alnus glutinosa
Lineage: Eukaryota; Viridiplantae; Streptophyta; Magnoliopsida; Fagales; Betulaceae
Exons: 2
Source: RefSeq, a predicted model, not a curated record
UUUUCUUCCCCCAAAUCUUUCCCUCCUCCCUCCCUCCACCCCACCGACCACCACCCACCAGCUGAGCAGAGUCGACCACUGCCACCGGUACAGCUUCCACCGCACAGAGAAGACGACCCAGCCAUCAAAAGAGGCUGCUUUGCUUCCAUACUUGGCUGCGCGAGAGCUUCAAUCUAUAGACCGUUCUCCACACCCUUCUCAUCAGAGAAGUUGAGGAUCUUUAUAAAGAUGUUUCCUGUAGUGUAAGAAUUGUUUGUUUGAAUCUGCAUAUAUUUAAGGUGCGUAGUCCUCUUGUGGUUUGAAGUAGAGGGAAGCCACCAUCAACAAGGAAGAUGUCUGAAGUAGAGAAAGUGGUGGUGAAGAAGUCUAAGAGAAAGAAAGAAUCAACCAAAUGACACAAAUGACAAGAGUCGCCUAGUGCGAGGAAGAAAAACGUCUAAUUAGACAUAUGCUUGAGGCCUUUAAUUAUGCUUGUUUGAAUAUUUUUUAAAUGCUUUCACUAACAAGUUUGUAUUGUUUUAUUAAUGGUAGACUUCCCAAGGAAAUGCUAUUGUGGACACAAAUGAAGCUUUGUUGCCUCCCCUAACUAAUACUCAACAUGACAAUGUAAUUGGAACUCAAAAUAGUGUAAUUACUUAGAUAUUACAAGAGAAAA